Molecule: long non-coding RNA, 373 nt
Filed under: Panax ginseng (ginseng)
Lineage: Eukaryota; Viridiplantae; Streptophyta; Magnoliopsida; Apiales; Araliaceae
Description: long non-coding RNA (PGIN_LNC008037)
Source: RNAcentral
UACAACCUCCCCUUCUUAUGAAAUUUCGCCCUCGAAAUUAGGGUACGUACGUGGUAUGUCGAAUAGGUGAGGAUAUCUUAACUUUAUCUCAGAUUCUAACUCCCAAGUCAUUUCUUCCACGUCGUAGUUUCUCCACAAAACUUUAACUUGAGGUAUAACCUUGGAGCGUAGAAUAUGAUCCUUCUUAUUUAAGGUUUUAACAGGUAACUCUUCAUUCGUUAAAUCUUCCUCUAUCUCGUCCGGUUCUAAUUCAAUAAUGUGAUUCGGGUCUUCCACAUAUUUACGUAACAUGGAUAUGUGAAACACGUUAUGAACACGAGACAUACUUGGUGGUAAAGCGAGUCUAUACGCCUCAGUUCCUACUCGAUCGAGG